GAAAUACGGUGCAUCCUUUCCCAGGAGUGGAGUGCGAGGGAUCAAAUGCCGGAGGAGGCAGCAGAGGCAAUAAAGUGAUCGCUCAGCAGGGUGAGGACUGUGCGCCUCUGGCCUCACCAGCGUCUGUGCUCAGAGCAAGGUCAGGAGAGCUCAGCGUGAGCCAAAGCUGUCCACAGCAGAGACCACUCACGGCCAUGACCCUGGCACACGCCGGGGCCUGCCUGCCAGCUGCGAGCACUUCAUCUCAAAGCUUCAGCCGCGACCUGCCCGGUUCUGCAGAGCAGGGCUCGCCCGCCCUGUAAUUUCCCACUGAGUCAGGAGAUCAAGUGAGAAUUCCACUGAUGUUUUUAAAUAGUCUUGGCUCCAAUAAGCGAAGGCGGGUGGAGAUUUUGGAGUGCACCCAUGUGGGCUGGCAGGGAGCUGCAGGUCUCCUGUUACUGGGGGCUGGAAGGACAGCCUUCUUCGGCUGCCUCCAAGCGACGCAGUUCAUGGUUUGGAAGAAUUUAAGCGCAGUCCAUCAAGGUAAGGGAGGGAGGCAUGCAUCCAAGGCUGCAGGACUAUUUGGGCUGGAAAGCAGAGGAGUCAGAGUGGAGACAUCAUCCCUCAGGUUUAGAGUCUUGUCCCUGUGGUCUGACAUUUUUCCAACUAGGUAAAACAUCCAAACGUUCCCACCAUCUCUGAAAGCUGUGCCAAGAGCCAGGAACCAAGUGUUGAAACACAGGAACCAGUGGGAGAUACUUCAAAUCCAAACCAUCAUACAGCUUCACCCUUGACUGGAUAAAGGCAUGAGAAAUCCAACAAGGCUUUCGUUUUAGGGAAUGUGCUAGUGAAAUAUUGGUCAGCCGACACAACCUCGGGUCUUCUGAGAAGAGGGGACCUCAAUGGAGAGAACGCCUUCAUUAGACUGACCUAUAGGCAAGUCUUUGGUUAAUGACUGACGUGGGGGAGGGGGGCUGGCCCACUGUGGGCGGUGCCAACGCUGGACCAGCGGUGCCAGGUCCUAUAGGAAAGCAGACUGAGCCAUUCAUGGAGAGGACUCCAGCUGGCCCGGCUCUCCCAUGGUUCCUGCCUGAGUUCCUGCCCUGACUCCCCUUCAAGGCCCAAGCUGUGAAGAUGAAAUAAACUAAACAAACCCUCCACUCCAUGGCACUUCAGGGUUCCCUGCGGAGCUCCCACAUGUGGCUUAUGCCAAGAGAGACUUUCGAAGGACUCUCUAGGCAGGUUUCCAGUCGGAAGAGACUUAUUACAAGGAAGCGCUGCUGCUGACCACAUUUUUGAAUGUGUUAUGAGACUGUCUGUAAAGUCUAAGGAGGCCAAAGAAGUGUGUCGCUUACACCUGCAUUUUUAAUUGCAUUUCUGUAACCUAAUUGAUUACUGUCCUAACAUAUGAAAAAAAAUCAACAUUUUUUUUAAAAAUCUGAAGUAAAAAUAAAACCAAAGUAACCAGAGUGUAAAACAACGGCUCACAUAAAUGUUCGAAGCUAUUCUCGAAUUCAAAAUAAUGGAACGCCUACUAAAUGCCAGUGUUUAAGCCCAGGUGUGGUAGCACCCACCUUUAAUCCCAACAAUUGGGAGGCAGAGGCAGGUGGAUCUCGUUGAGUUCAAGGCCAGCCUGGCCCACAGAGUGAGUUCCAGGACAGCCAGAGCUGCACAGGGAAACCCUCCAGAACAAAAGAAACCAAACAAACGAAAACACUAUUUUGAGAUCAGAAAGACCUAGUCUGAGAGUCAACCAAGCAUUUGCCCAGCCAGUCUGAAGCUACCGGGACCUACAUGGCGAGGCAGGAAGUGAGAUAACUCAGGCUUUCAUGACUUCUAAAACUUCCUUCGCCCAUCCCAGAGGGGCAGCGCCCUCUGCCCCCCCCACUGACCUGGUCCUUUAGCUAGUUCAGCAUCUAAGGUGGUUCCAUAACGCUUCCAGGGACUUCUGGGGACCAAGCUUCCGAUGUGGGCCACAGGGAAACCAGCCUCGCCCGAAACUCACCACUGGAAUUAGAUGACGAUGAUGAUGAUGAUGAUGACGACGACGACGACGACGAUUGAAAAGAGCAGACUGGGAGCUGGGCAGUUGGCUCCGUCAGCACAGCGCCUGUCACAUGAGCCUCCGUCUGCAUCUGUAACCCCAACACUGGAGGCAGUAUAGUGAUGAGCGCCAGGGUCAGUGAGGAAUCCCAUCGCCCCCAUAUAAAGUAGA
Long non-coding RNA from Mesocricetus auratus (golden hamster), 2194 nucleotides. RefSeq lists it as uncharacterized. The transcript is spliced from 2 exons. The record is from RefSeq and is a predicted model, not a curated record. NCBI's taxonomy places the organism in Eukaryota, Metazoa, Chordata, Mammalia, Rodentia, Cricetidae.